UAGAGCACUGUUUGGACGAGGGGCCCCUCUCGGGUUACCGAAUUCAGACAAACUCCGAAUGCCAAUUAAUUUAACUUGGGAGUCAGAACAUGGGUGAUAAGGUCCGUGUUCGAAAGGGAAACAGCCCAGACCACCAGCUAAGGUCCCAAAAUAUAUGUUAAGUGGAAAAGGAUGUGGCGUUGCCCAGACAACUAGGAUGUUGGCUUAGAAGCAGCCAUCAUUUAAAGAGUGCGUAAUAGCUCACUAGUCGAGUGACACUGCGCCGAAAAUGUACCGGGGCUAAACAUAUUACCGAAGCUGUGGAUUGUCCUUUGGACAAUGGUAGGAGAGCGUUCUAAGGGCGUUGAAGCAUGAUCGUAAGGACAUGUGGAGCGCUUAGAAGUGAGAAUGCCGGUGUGAGUAGCGAAAGACGGGUGAGAAUCCCGUCCACCGAUUGACUAAGGUUUCCAGAGGAAGGCUCGUCCGCUCUGGGUUAGUCGGGUCCUAAGCUGAGGCCGACAGGCGUAGGCGAUGGAUAACAGGUUGAUAUUCCUGUACCACCUAUAAUCGUUUUAAUCGAUGGGGGGACGCAGUAGGAUAGGCGAAGCGUGCGAUUGGAUUGCACGUCUAAGCAGUAAGGCUGAGUAUUAGGCAAAUCCGGUACUCGUUAAGGCUGAGCUGUGAUGGGGAGAAGACAUUGAGUCUUCGAGUCGUUGAUUUCACACUGCCGAGAAAAGCCUCUAGAUAGAAAAUAGGUGCCCGUACCGCAAACCGACACAGGUAGUCAAGAUGAGAAUUCUAAGGUGAGCGAGCGAACUCUCGUUAAGGAACUCGGCAAAAUGACCCCGUAACUUCGGGAGAAGGGGUGCUCUUUAGGGUUAACGCCCAGAAGAGCCGCAGUGAAUAGGCCCAAGCGACUGUUUAUCAAAAACACAGGUCUCUGCUAAACCGUAAGGUGAUGUAUAGGGGCUGACGCCUGCCCGGUGCUGGAAGGUUAAGAGGAGUGGUUAGCUUCUGCGAAGCUACGAAUCGAAGCCCCAGUAAACGGCGGCCGUAACUAUAACGGUCCUAAGGUAGCGAAAUUCCUUGUCGGGUAAGUUCCGACCCGCACGAAAGGCGUAACGAUUUGGGCACUGUCUCAACGAGAGACUCGGUGAAAUCAUAGUACCUGUGAAGAUGCAGGUUACCCGCGACAGGACGGAAAGACCCCGUGGAGCUUUACUGUAGCCUGAUAUUGAAAUUCGGCACAGCUUGUACAGGAUAGGUAGGAGCCUUUGAAACGUGAGCGCUAGCUUACGUGGAGGCGCUGGUGGGAUACUACCCUAGCUGUGUUGGCUUUCUAACCCGCACCACUUAUCGUGGUGGGAGACAGUGUCAGGCGGGCAGUUUGACUGGGGCGGUCGCCUCCUAAAAGGUAACGGAGGCGCUCAAAGGUUCCCUCAGAAUGGUUGGAAAUCAUUCAUAGAGUGUAAAGGCAUAAGGGAGCUUGACUGCGAGACCUACAAGUCGAGCAGGGUCGAAAGACGGACUUAGUGAUCCGGUGGUUCCGCAUGGAAGGGCCAUCGCUCAACGGAUAAAAGCUACCCCGGGGAUAACAGGCUUAUCUCCCCCAAGAGUUCACAUCGACGGGGAGGUUUGGCACCUCGAUGUCGGCUCAUCGCAUCCUGGGGCUGUAGUCGGUCCCAAGGGUUGGGCUGUUCGCCCAUUAAAGCGGUACGCGAGCUGGGUUCAGAACGUCGUGAGACAGUUCGGUCCCUAUCCGUCGUGGGCGUAGGAAAUUUGAGAGGAGCUGUCCUUAGUACGAGAGGACCGGGAUGGACAUACCUCUGGUGUACCAGUUGUCGUGCCAACGGCAUAGCUGGGUAGCUAUGUGUGGACGGGAUAAGUGCUGAAAGCAUCUAAGCAUGAAGCCCCCCUCAAGAUGAGAUUUCCCAACUUCGGUUAUAAGAUCCCUCAAAGAUGAUGAGGUUAAUAGGUUCGAGGUGGAAGCAUGGUGACAUGUGGAGCUGACGAAUACUAAUCGAUCGAAGACUUAAUCAA
RNAcentral lists this ribosomal RNA (2019 nucleotides) under Staphylococcus aureus H31276. RNAcentral's name for it is "bacterial LSU rRNA". It matches the Rfam family "Bacterial large subunit ribosomal RNA", at positions 903 to 2925 of the family's 2925-position model. The record is from RNAcentral. Lineage: Bacteria; Bacillati; Bacillota; Bacilli; Caryophanales; Staphylococcaceae.